AUUGAACGCUGGCGGCAGGCCUAACACAUGCAAGUCGAGCGGAUGAAGGGAGCUUGCUCCUGGAUUCAGCGGCGGACGGGUGAGUAAUGCCUAGGAAUCUGCCUGGUAGUGGGGGAUAACGUCCGGAAACGGGCGCUAAUACCGCAUACGUCCUGAGGGAGAAAGUGGGGGAUCUUCGGACCUCACGCUAUCAGAUGAGCCUAGGUCGGAUUAGCUAGUUGGUGGGGUAAAGGCCUACCAAGGCGACGAUCCGUAACUGGUCUGAGAGGAUGAUCAGUCACACUAGAACUGAGACACGGUCCAGACUCCUACGGGAGGCAGCAGUGGGGAAUAUUGGACAAUGGGCGAAAGCCUGAUCCAGCCAUGCCGCGUGUGUGAAGAAGGUCUUCGGAUUGUAAAGCACUUUAAGUUGGGAGGAAGGGCAGUAAGUUAAUACCUUGCUGUUUUGACGUUACCAACAGAAUAAGCACCGGCUAACUUCGU
Molecule: ribosomal RNA, 483 nt
Filed under: uncultured bacterium
Lineage: Bacteria
Description: partial 16S ribosomal RNA
Rfam family: Bacterial small subunit ribosomal RNA
Source: RNAcentral